RNAcentral lists this transfer RNA (71 nucleotides) under Cordylochernes scorpioides. RNAcentral describes it as "tRNA-Gly". The record is from RNAcentral. Lineage: Eukaryota; Metazoa; Arthropoda; Arachnida; Pseudoscorpiones; Chernetidae.
UGCAUCGGCCGGAAUUCGAACCCGGGGCGCUCGCGUGGCAGGCGAGCAUUCUACCACAGAACCACCGAUGC